Molecule: long non-coding RNA, 29068 nt
Filed under: Triticum aestivum (bread wheat)
Lineage: Eukaryota; Viridiplantae; Streptophyta; Magnoliopsida; Poales; Poaceae
Description: long non-coding RNA (TAES_LNC011430)
Source: RNAcentral
GGACCUAUAUAGCUGCAGGUAGAACCAACCCAUCCAUUGCUCAGCGUAUCGAAGAUGAUGGGAUUCACGUUGGACCUGAGACUACGAAAUUGCUGGAGCGUGUCUCCGGCAAUUGAAACUGAGAAGGAAAGAAACUUCAUAAAAACUCGAGGCUGCCGUAGAAUUUUUCUUCAUUAUAGAUCAGAAUUAUGACUUGUCGAAGAUGUCGUUAUCUCGUGAAAAGCUUGCUUUUACCAGAUUUCUGUACAUGAAUCGCAAGGUCUUUUUGGCAUUUUGCAUUUGAUGCUCUGCUAGCCCCCCGACUACUGUGUAGCAUCUAUCUAAGCUGCUAAUAUGAUGGAGUUAUUUCCAAAAUCCAAUUAUUUUCAUGUUACUCAUGUAGUCGACGAGUUGAUUGAGUACCCAGGUAUUCUCUAAUGUUUAAUGUUGCCGACCAUUCGUGAAGAGGCGCAAGGAAGCAGUGAGUGAUUUCUGAUAUAUUAUUUGCUUGCACCAGGUAGUGUUUUUUUAGGGGAACUGGCUCACAUUAUUAAUCAACCAUUUGGGGUACAAUGCAAUGUCAGGCGAAUGUAAGAGCCAGACUUUGGCAAGCUUUUCUGUAUUUGAAAGCUUAGCAACAAGACUCAAAGGCUUAGAUAAUAUAAUCACGCGGUGGUUGUUUGUCGAUCAGGAAUAAGUAUCAGCACCAAACUUGUAUAAGCUGCAGUCGGAAUUGUAAUUUGUUAUCCCUAGUGACAACGGUUAAUGGAUAAAGAGACAAAGAGAUGUGCUCCCUGUUGUGAGCCUACAACUGUAAAUAAUUUCCAUGCAGCUCUGCAAAUUCAGAAAUAAGGUCUGUAAUUGAUGCUUACACAAACACAAAAAUAGUACCUAGGAGUUGUGUUGAAGGACAGGGCACAUCAUAUCUGGUAUAUGUUCAAAUCAUUCAGUUUGUGUUGUAAUGGAAAGUGUGCUCACUUUGUUUGAUGGAACUAACUGAACGCAUUCUAGUUUAUUCUUGUGUUGUUGCAGCACAGGUCUGAGGGGCAUUCCAUCAGGCAUUUUGUGUACCAUGAACCAUGUUCCCCAAAUCUUGUGUUACAAAAUUGUGAAAUACUCCCUCAGUCCCGUAAUAUAAGAUAAUUUUGCAAGCUAAAACAGCUUAAACGGUCUUAAAUUGUGGGACGAAGAGAGUAACUUUCUAUGACAUGGAUGUUGAUAAUGCAUCGUCGUACCGCCACGCCACUUACUAGAAAAGUAGAAAGUAAUUAUUUGAAGAUCUUUUAUGUCAUUUUCUGCACUUGAUGCUUUCCUAAAAAAGCAUGUCACUGUAUGCAUUACACAGCUGAAUUUUGUAUGCCAGUUGCGCGUCGCGUUAUGCAUCCAAUCAAUUUCUGAUGCGAUUUCCACACCCGGAACUAGAUUGUUUUUUUGUGGGAUCCUGAACUAGAUGGGGUUUCUUUUUUUGCGGGAUCCUGAACUUUUUUUUUGCAGGGAAAUUUGGGAGCUCUUUAUUCAACACUAACAGCUCCAGCUGAAUCAGCUGAGAGGCUGGUUACAAGAAGACUCGGAAUGGAGUCCAUCCAACAUUCGAUUACAUCCAGGGUGCUAGCUUGUUUAGCACAAAUGUGAGCCGAAACAUUAGCUGAUCUUCCUACAUGCUGAAUUACAAAAGACUUAAAAUAAAUGACAUGCUCCCUAAUCUCGGCCAAGAUAGGCGCCACGACCGCACAAGCAUUGUGACGCGUAUUCCAGAGAUUCACAAUCUCCAAAUUAUCAGACUCGAAAACCACCUCAGAAUAGCCUCGAAGAUGAGCAAAGAGAACACCAUCGCGUAGAGCGAGUGCCUCGGCUAUAAGAGGAUCAGUGAUUCCUGAGUAAGGUUUGCACCAUGCAGCUAGAAAGGAUGAAUGUGUUCUUGCGACUCCACCUGCCACUCCCCUCCUAGCUUCCAUUGCAACACUUCCAUCAGUGUUGAUCUUGAUCCAGCCCAAGUCUGGCGGUCUCCAACCAUGCCCCGGCAAAAUUUGCGCGUGUUCGCGAGGAAGUUCAAGUACAGAUAGAGCUUCUUGGGUUUUCUUCAUGGACUGAACAGGAUCAAGUUCCUUCUUGUCAUGUGUGGCAUUGUUUCUUGAGGUCCAAAUCGUCCACAUGACAGUAACCAGUUUUGCUUUCUCAGACUCAGAGAACAUCGGAUCGCAAAUAACAUCCCGAGACCAUGUAAGUGGGUGCAACUCCGGUCGCUUGAUGUCAAGCCAGUACGGCGCCGCGUUCCAAAAACGUCUGGCGUGGGUGCAAUCCAAUAACGCAUGCUUCAUGUCUUCCUCUGCAUGAAGACACAGUUUGCAGGUGCCAAUGGUUGUGAUAUGGCGGUACAUGAGAGUAGAUUCAGCCGGAAGGAUCCCAUGCAACACCCGCCACCAGAACACUCUUACCCUUGGCAAAACCUUAAGCUUCCAUAAACGGGACCAUAACUGUCUGUCUGUCGAUGAAGUCUCGGUGAUCGUCCCUUCCUCUAGAGCCAGAUGCUCGUUACGAGUCAUUAGAGCAUGAUACGCCGAUUUUACAGUAUAGCAUCCUGACCGUUCGUGAGCCCAUGCAAGGACAUCAUCGCCCCCACCCCGCAUGAGAGGGAUGUUAAGAAUUGCAUCCGCAUCGGGGGUGAUAAAAUUUUGACGGACCACAUGCACCUUCCACGACCAAUUGACCGUAUCAAUAAGGUCUGAGACUGUUUGCAAUUGUGUAUUAGUGCUUCUGACAGUCGGAGUCAUAGAAAGGGUACCGGGAAUCCACUUAUCAUCCCAGAUAGAGACCGAACUGCCAUCUCCAAUGCGUUUGAUCAGACCAACUUGCAAAGAAUCCCUCCUUGCAAUGAUGGCACGCCACAUCGCCAAGGAAAACCGCGGGGUUGUAGCUUGCAUGAAAUCACAAGUGGGAAAAUAUCUCCCUUUGAGAACUCUAGCACAAAGCGAUGAUGGAUUCGUCAUCAGUCGCCAGCCAUGUUUGCCGAGAAGAGCUGUGUUGAAAAGCUCAAGAUCCCGGAAGCCCAUUCCGCCCUUCUCCUUUGGACUUGCCAAGGUCUGCCAGGCCUUCCAAUGCAGUGAAUUACGAUCCAGGGAGCUGCUCCACCAAUACUUAGCGAAGGAGGAAGUAAGGCUCUUACACACCUUCUUUGUUAACUUGAAGCAACUCAUGCUGAAAAUAGGUAUAGCUUGGGCUACAGUUCUUAUACGCACUUCCCUUCCAGCACAAGAAAUCAUUCUUUCUGACCCUCCUUGGAGUUUGCUUCGGAUCCUCUCUCCAAUAUGGUCAAAAGUACCGCUUGUGAUCCUAUCCACAACUAUAGGUAGACCAAGAUAACGAUCGCUGAAAGCUUCUACCGAAAUGUUCAGAGUUUGUUUCAGCAGUAGCUUAUCCGGGGCAGAGGUGUUUGGACUAAAAUAAAUUGAGCUUUUCUCUUUGUUGACAGCCUGCCCUGAGCCCCUCUCAUAAAUUCUCAAUAUCUCAUUGAGCCUUUGGUCACUAUCCACCUUUGCCUGCAUAAAAAUUAGACUGUCAUCCGCGAAGAGAAGAUGAUUAAUCCACGGAUAUCGGUAGCUGACUCGAAUGCCUUUGUCCACUCUCACACCACCAAAGUGGUUCAGAAGUGAAGUUAAACCUUCCGCACAUAGCAGGAAUAAGUACGGAGACGCUGGGCACCCCUGUCUUAGCCCCCUCGAGGGGGUGAAAAAAGGAAGAAGUUCGCCAUUCACCCAUAUUGAGAAUCUGACUGAGGUGACAUACUUCAUGACUAGGCGAACAAACUCCAUACAGAAACCAAGUUUCAACAUGAUCGCCUGCAAAUAAUGCCAUUCUACACGGUCGUAUGCUUUCAUCAUGUCCAACUUGAUAGCACAGACAGCAUUCUCCCCUUUUGUCACGCCCAAUAUGCGACCCUAUCCAAAAGGAACUCGAAGGUCCCACCAAGGAUAGACCCGCAUAUUGAAACGCUUUUGCAAGGUGGAUAUCAUUACAUCAACAUUACAUAAUAGAUGGGGAUACAUACAAGAGGCAAACCAUGCCACACGAAUACAACACCACAAUACAUCAGAGCAUCAUCCGACUACGGAUGAAUCACAAACAGAAACUCAAAAUACAUCCACCCUGCUAGCCCAGGCUGCCGACCUGGAACCUAUCCCCUGAUCGAAGAAGAAGCAGAAGAAGAACUCAUUGCAAGCAAGCAUCGCUCUCGCGUCAUGACCAUCGCAAAACCUCACCUGCAACUAUUGUUGUAGUAAUCUGUGAGCCACGAGGACUCAGCAAUCCCAUUACCAUGGGUAUCAAGACUAGCAAAGCUUAAUAGGAAAGGAAGGGGUAAAGUGGUGAGGCUGCAGCAGCGACUAAGCAUGAUAUGGUGGCUAACAUACGCAAAUAAGAGCGAGAAGAGAACAAAAGGAACGGUCGUGAAACUAGCAAUGAUCAAGAAGUGAUCCUGAACUCCUACUUACGUCAAACAUAACCCAGAAACCGUGUUCACUUCCCGGACUCCGCCGAGAAGAGACCAUCACGGCUACACACACGGUUGAUGCGUUUUAAUUCGGAUCUGGUGUCAAGUUAUCUACAACCGGACAUUAACAAAUUCCCAUAUGCCUAUAACCGCAGGCACGACUUUCGAAAGAUUAUACCCUACAAGGGUGUCCCAACUUAGCCCAUGACAAUCUCUCGCGAUCAACGAAGGAAUAGACCUUCUCCCAGGAAGACCCGAUCAGACUCGGAAUCCCGGUUUACAAGACAUUUCGACAAUGGUAAAACAAGACCAGCAAGACCGCCCGAUGCGCUGACAAUCCCGAUAGGAGCUGCACAUAUCUCGUUCUUAGGGCAACACCGGAUGAGCAAUCCGUACAACUAAAACCAAACCUCAAGUUUCCCUGAGGGGGCGCUGCAAAGGGCUCAGGUUCGGACCAACACUUAGACAAGCACUGGCCCGGGGGGCUAAAAUAAAGAUGACCCUCGGGUUGGCCGACCCAAGGGAAAGGGUUAGGUGGUGGUGAGGCAAAUGGUAAAACCAAGGUUGGGCCUUGCUGGAGGAGUUUUAUUCAAAGCGAACUGUCAAGGGGGUCCCAUAAAUCACCCGACCGCGUAAGGAACGCAAAAUCCGGGAACAUAACACCGGUAUGACGGAAACUAGGGCGGCAAGAGUGGAACAAAACACUAGGCAAAAGGCCAAGCCUUCCACCCUUUACCAAAUAUAUAGAUGCAUUAAUAAAAUAAGAGAUAUUGUGAUAUCCCAACCAAAAUCCUGUCCGCCAUGGAGCAAUCUUCAAACUUCACCUGCAACUAGCAACGCUAUAAGAGGGGAUGAGCAAAGCGGCAACAUAGCCAAACAACGGUUUGCAUAGGAAAGGUGUCAAAGGUUAGAGGUUCAUGGCUAUUUGGGAUGGCUUGAUAAACAGGUGAUAGGUAGCGCAACAAAGCGAUAGAACGAAGCAACUAGCAUAGCAAUGAUAGUAGUGAGAUCCAGGGUAGCGGUCAUCUUGCCUGAAAUCCCCCAAGGAAGAAGAACGAGUCCAUGAAGAAGACGAACGGACGAAGCCGAACCAAGCGUAGACGAACGAAUCCUCACGAUCGCAACGAAACAGGAACUAUCGAAAAGAAGCACAUAACAUAGUAAACACACCACACAUGAACAAGGCAUGAUGCACAAACAAGCAUGAUGCAUGACAAAGCUACAUGAAGCUACUCAUGGCAAGAGAUGAUGCAAACAAGAACAACACAUCAAGGCAAGUUUAAAUGAGGCCGGGAACAACAUAUAACAAUUCCGGAAAGUCCUCAUAUGCAUAUUUCGAAAUUGGUCCAGAUCUGAACAAACCUUAUGUUCAAGUAGUUAAACAUCAAGUUAAGAUGCACAAAGAUGAUCUACACGAGAUUCUAGUCAAGUUACAUAUAAAGUUCAUUAGAUUCGGAGCUACGGCCUAGAAGAUAUGGGCAAAACAAGUUAAACAUGGCAUUGAUACAAAAUGCACCCAAACAUCAAGCAAACACCUCAAAACAAGGAUGCAACAUGAUAAUAUGAAACUACAUGCAAUUCUAAGCAAGUUUCAUAUAGAGCACACUCAUAACGGGGCAAUGGUUCAACACAUGCACACUAUACAAGUCAUAGCAAUAAUCUGUCCAAAACAGCAACUAGACAUAUUGCAAGCAUCAAAACAAUAUGCUACAUCACCCCAACAUAAUAACAGAAGGCAUGGACAUGAUGUACAGGUAAAGCAUUACAAAACAUGAACACUGAACUAUCUCCAGAAAUCACUAGAACAUGUCCAAACACACAUGGUAAGAUUGCAAGUUAUUACAAUUCAGACUUUGCAGAAAAUAACAUCACGAUGCAAUGUUCAGAGCUAUCAAACAACAUGUUACAGGAACUUAUAAUGGCAAACAAAAGCAUGGCAUGAUUCUACUCAAAGCAUAGACCAAAAGUCCCUUACUGACCAUAAGCCAAAAAUGAUCAGAAAAUAUGAUGGCACCCACGUAAACAUAGCAAGUUAUUAUACAGAUUCAAACAUGGCAGAAACAUAAUUAUGAAGGCAUGUAAAUGAGCUUGUGCAACUCAUUACAGAACAAUACAUGGCAUGGCAAGGCAACCAGCAGUAAGAAGACAUAUUUGUGAAGCUAAGAAUGGCAAUAGCAAGGUCAUAGGAUGCAUGGAACACUAGCAAAACACAUGGGAACAAGUGAACUUAAUGUAAACAGGCUGACAACAACAUUAUGAAGCAACUUUGGAGCAAGAUUACAACAAGCUACAGCAGCCUAUAAAUGCAACCAGGGCCUUGGAUGGAUAGGGGAUGACAUGUAUAUCAAAACAUGUUUAUAGGCCAUAUCCAGAUUAUGCAUAGAAUGAUUAGUAGCAACAUGUUUAUAUAGCAUCGUGAAAUAACAGAUUCGGCCUAGCAAAACAGCAACAUCAUGAACACUACUUAACAAGCUCGAUUCACUCACCACAAGUCAUUGCAUGACAAGAUAAGCAUAGCAUCAUCAAGAAGGCAUGUCAUAGAAGCUAUACAUGGCAAGAAACAACAUCAUAGCAUAUCCGGACCAACUACAACAACCUCGGCCAAAUUGAAUAACAUGUAAACAAUCUGCCAGGAAACAUUUUGAAGCAAAAGUAGAGCACUCAAAUGAUAUGCUAGACUACUCCAUAAUUGCAACAAAGGGCAUGAAUGGAUAGAGCAUAACCACAUGUUCAAAACACCCUUACCGAAGUAUCUCAAAAUAUGCAUGGAUCUCUCUGUAGCAUCAAGUUUACAUGGCAUCAAAAUAACAGCAGAACAGGGACUAAAAUCAGCAACAUCACGAUGCCUAGUUUGCAUGCUUGUGCUAGUCACCACAUUGAUCACAAAGAUACAUGGCAUACACCACUGUAAAGAAGACAUGGCAUAGAUCAAAACACAUGAAGACAUCAACCUCAUAGGAUGCACACAUCAAUCAUGGCAAAAAUGACAAAAGAGCUCGUUCUGAUAACAGACAGCAGAAAACAUUAUGAAGCACUCUUACAACGAUGAUUCAGGCAUCAAUAUGACCUCAAAUGAAUAUGAUGCAAUGGAAUGGAAUGAUCUACUCGUCGAGACGAACAAUUCGACAUAUUACACGCAUGAAACGGAGCUACGGAUGCAGAGAUACGGCAUGACGAACAUGGCAUGAAAAUUACUCAAACUGGNNNNNNNNNNNNNNNNNNNNNNNNNNNNNNNNNNNNNNNNNNNNNNNNNNNNNNNNNNNNNNNNNNNNNNNNNNNNNNNNNNNNNNNNNNNNNNNNNNNNNNNNNNNNNNNNNNNNNNNNNNNNNNNNNNNNNNNNNNNNNNNNNNNNNNNNNNNNNNNNNNNNNNNNNNNNNNNNNNNNNNNNNNNNNNNNNNNNNNNNNNNNNNNNNNNNNNNNNNNNNNNNNNNNNNNNNNNNNNNNNNNNNNNNNNNNNNNNNNNNNNNNNNNNNNNNNNNNNNNNNNNNNNNNNNNNNNNNNNNNNNNNNNNNNNNNNNNNNNNNNNNNNNNNNNNNNNNNNNNNNNNNNNNNNNNNNNNNNNNNNNNNNNNNNNNNNNNNNNNNNNNNNNNNNNNNNNNNNNNNNNNNNNNNNNNNNNNNNNNNNNNNNNGACGUGGCGUCCCCGGAUUGGUCCGGGCGACGUGGAGGCUGGGGUGGACGUGUCCGGCCGCCGGGCGGACAUGUCCGGCGGCGCGAGGAGGGAGAGGGCUAGGGUUUCGGGGGAUCAACCGUGAAUUUCAGGGAGAGGCAUAUAUUUAUAGGUAGAGAGAGCUAGGAGAGUCCAAAUGAGGAGCGGUUUUCGGCCACGUGAUCGUGAUCGAACGACCGAGAGCAUGGAGGGGAGUUAGAUGGGUUUUGGGCCAGUUUGGAAGGGGUGUUGGGAUGCAAGGAGAGAGGGUCUUUACGGUUACCCGGUUAACCGUUGGAGUACCAAACGACCUCCAAAUGGCACGAAACUUGACAGGCGAUCUACCGGUGCUAUACCGAGGCCACUUAGCAAGCCUCGGGCCAUUCCGAGAAAGUUUAGCACCCACUCACAACGAGAGACGAAAGGGGAACACCGGAGGACAUAGGAGCACCGGAUUGCAAAAUGGACAACGGGGAAAAGGCUCGGAUGCAUGAGACGAACACGUAUGCAAAAUGAAAUGCACAUGAUGACAUGAUAAAAUGCAACACGCAAGAAAAUGACAUGGCAAUGACAUGGCAACGACGGCGAAUAACUGGCAGACACCUGGCGCAUCGGAACCGGGGCGUUACAACACUCCUCCACUAACAAGAGAUCUCGUCCCGAGAUCUUAGGACCGAGACGGAAGGGAAAAAGGGAUGAGGUGAAACAAGAACUGAAGAGAAGAAGCAAGGAAUCAAGAGCAUUCGAGAAGAAGAAGGAACGACGAGAAUGACGAGAAUCGAAAGCUCACGAAAUCAGAUAGGCUAAGAAAGCACUCAUUCUAACCGGAGUGGUUAGAAUGAGAUAAGAAACGAAUAAGACUGAAAGGAUUUAGGCAGCACUCCGACUGAAACAUGGAGGAAUAGAACAUGAACUUCACCCAAAGAGAUGGCACUUGACGAGAUGAACAAAGCAAUGCCUCCGGAAGAAUUGAAAGAAUUGAAUGAAAAGAACUUAGAAGGAAAGGUUGAACGGAUUUGUUGAGAAAAUCAACAACGAAAGGAUAAGCUUGUUGUGGACUUAUGGAGAACAUCUCAAAAUUAUGAGGUGAUAACCGACCACAAACGGAAAUGAUUGGAUAACUUAGAAGAACGAAGAAAUGCAAAACUCCACUUCCAAAAGAAUUACGGAGAAUUAAUUGCACUUCGAGAUGCGAGAAGAAAAGAUACUUGAACUCCACCAACAAGAAUCUUGAUGAACUCUUGAAGAAUGAAUUAAAUCAUGAAGAACCACCAUGAACUCCGGUAACAAAAGAAUGACGAGAUAAAAUUGAAGGAUGAAAGAAUAAGAUGAGCCUUGCGAUGAUUUAGAUGGAGGUUCCGACAAAAAGACCGAGGAAGAUUGAACUCCGGAAAAGAAAAGAUGAAAACACUUGAACUAGAAUUUAUUCCUCACGAACAAACUCUGAAGGAAGGGAUUAUUCACUUGGAUGAAAUAAGAAUAAGAUUUAUUGUAUGCUUAUCCUUCAUCAAAAUAAAUUGAUGACAAGCAAUGGAUUUUGUAUACUACUUAUUCUUCUUGAAAAGGAUUGAGAAGUGACAUAUCGCAAACUUGAGAAGGUCUUCAUGAACCACCGGUAGGAUUGAAAAGAACGAAUGGAUUAAAAUGAUAAACAAAGAAAAAGAAUCUUGAACGAACCACCGUAAGAAUUCGAAAAUGACUGACGAAAGAGGAUGAAUCACCGGGAAGAAUUGGAAGAACAAAUAUGCUUGAGGGAAUUUAGAUGCACAAGAACGAAGAGAUAACGAGCUGAUUAAAGAGCACUUGAAUGAAGCACCGGGAUAACAGAGAAUGAUAACUGGACUGAUGGCCUCCGGUGAAAAGAAACGGGAAACCAACUCCUGAAAUACUCCGGAUGGAUAAGAAAGAAUAUCUGGCACACUGAAAUAAAUCGAGAGGAUGAGUAUGAAAAACUCUUCUUCGAUCUUCAAAUGACGACGAGAAACACCGCAAAAAUUCCCGAGAUACUCCGGGAGAACAAAAAGCGAAGAGGUUGAGGCAACAAAGGAAAAUGAUUUGAAAACGAUCUUGGAAAAGCAUCUUACUGAUGGAAUCCAUUCUUAUGUCACACUUUGAAAAGAAUUGAGAAUAACUCCGGGGGAAUUAGAAGAGUCAGGUAAGAUCCUGGAAAAAGACCUGUGGGUUAUGGGCCCACUAAAAGAAAACACCGUUGGAAAGGAUGAUGAACAGAUAGAUGAUGCACCGGAACAAUUGAAAUAUUUGAAUGAGGUGACAGCCUCGAAUUUAUUGGAACAGAUACGAAUCUCCUGAGAUGUCUUGAACACUCCGGAAGGAUAAACUGGCGAGAGGCGAACGAGCAAGGAGAACACUUCGAGUAAAAGAAUAUGAUCAACCCGAAAAACUUGAAUUGAAUCCACCGGAAAGGAAAAGAGAUGAAGAAUGACGAACGAAACGAGAAUUCACCGGUUGAAACAAUUGACGAAAACUGAAGAGGCUCCACACGAAUGAAAAUUGAUGCUCGAAAGAGCUCCGGAGGGUGGGAGGGCGGGAAAACAAAGACAACUUGGAAGGGGAAUCGACGAAUAUCUUGAAGAGAAAACACUGGUUGAAAUCAUUGAGGAAAGAAAGCAAAGGCUUCGCAGGAGUAGGAUGGAUACUCGAUUACGGACUCCGGUUCUGAGAAGAAGAACAGGGAGGGCGGGUGGGAAAAGAAAACAACUGAGGAUUGAACUCAAAGAUGAAGAGGCUCGAGUCAACUUGACGAGAAAUGCACCGGAUGAAAAGAGCUGAGAACCAACGACCAGAAAACCAACUGCGUGAUCCUAAAGAAAAAUUUGAAGGGGAAGAGGAGUAAUCCGAAACACCUACGUCAAGAUUCCUUUCUAGAGCGACGAAGGGACCGAGGAGUAAAAAGAAUUCCUACUCUCCGAUAUAACUAGACUCCGAAAACAGUUUAUUCUAGACUCAACAUCGGCCAAACUACACGAUCAAUCAAGGGGGCUCCUAGGGUCGGUCGAGGCUCUGAUACCAACUUGUCAUGCCCAAUAUGCGACCCUAUCCAAAAGGAACUCGAAGGUCCCACCAAGGAUAGACCCGCGUAUUGAAACGCUUUUGCAAGGUGGAUAUCAUUACAUCAACAUUACAUAAUAGAUGGGGAUACAUACAAGAGGCAAACCAUGCCACACGAAUACAACACCACAAUACAUCAGAGCAUCAUCCGACUACGGAUGAAUCACAAACAGAAACUCAAACGACAUCCAUCCUGCUAGCCCAGGCUGCCGACCUGGAACCUAUCCCCUGAUCGAAGAAGAAGCAGAAGAAGAACUCAUUGCAAGCAAGCAUCGCUCUCGCGUCAUGACCAUCGCAAAACCUGCACCUGCAACUGUUGUUGUAGUAAUCUGUGAGCCACGAGGACUCAGCAAUCCCAUUACCAUGGGUAUCAAGACUAGCAAAGCUUAAUAGGAAAGGAAGGGGUAAAGUGGUGAGGCUGCAGCAGCGACUAAGCAUGAUAUGGUGGCUAACAUACACAAAUAAGAGCGAGAAGAGAACAAAAGGAACGGUCGUGAAACUAGCAAUGAUCAAGAAGUGAUCCUGAACUCCUACUUACGUCAAACAUAACCCAGAAACCGUGUUCACUUCCCGGACUCCGCCGAGAAGAGACCAUCACGGCUACACACACGGUUGAUGCGUUUUAAUUCGGAUCUGGUGUCAAGUUAUCUACAACCGGACAUUAACAAAUUCCCAUAUGCCUAUAACCGCAGGCACGGCUUUCGAAAGAUUAUACCCUGCAGGGGUGUCCCAACUUAGCCCAUGAUAAUCUCUCGCGAUCAACGAAGGAAUAGACCUUCUCCCAGGAAGACCCGAUCAGACUCGAAAUCCCGGUUUACAAGACAUUUCGACAAUGGUAAAACAAGACCAGCAAGACCGCCCGAUGCGCUGACAAUCCCGAUAGGAGCUGCACAUAUCUCGUUCUCAGGGCAACACCGGAUGAGCAAUCCGUACAACUAAAACCAAACCUCAAGUUUCCCUGAGGGGGCGCUGCAAAGGGCUCAGGUUCGGACCAACACUUAGACAAGCACUGGCCCGGGGGGCUAAAAUAAAGAUGACCCUCGGGUUGGCCGACCCAAGGGAAAGGGGUAGAUGGUGGUGAGGCAAAUGGUAAAACCAAGGUUGGGCCUUGCUGGAGGAGUUUUAUUCAAAGCGAACUGUCAAGGGGGUCCCAUAAAUCACCCGACCGCGUAAGGAACGCAAAAUCCGGGAACAUAACACCGGUAUGACGGAAACUAGGGCGGCAAGAGUGGAACAAAACACUAGGCAAAAGGCCAAGCCUUCCACCCUUUACCAAAUAUAUAGAUGCAUUAAUAAAAUAAGAGAUAUUGUGAUAUCCCAACCAAAAUCCUGUCCGCCAUGGAGCAAUCUUCAAACUUCACCUGCAACUAGCAACGCUAUAAGAGGGGAUGAGCAAAGCGGUAACAUAGCCAAACAACGGUUUGCAUAGGAAAGGUGUCAAAGGUUAGAGGUUCAUGGCUAUUUGGGAUGGCUUGAUAAACAGGUGAUAGGUAGCGCAGCAAAGCAAUAGAACGAAGCAACUAGCAUAGCAAUGAUAGUAGUGAGAUCCAGGGUAGCGGUCAUCUUGCCUGAAAUCCCCCAAGGAAGAAGAACGAGUCCAUGAAGAAGACGAACGGACGAAGCCGAACCAAGCGUAGACGAACGAAUCCUCACGAUCGCAACGAAACAGGAACUAUCGAAAAGAAGCACACAACAUAGUAAACACACCACACAUGAACAAGGCAUGAUGCACAAACAAGCAUGAUGCAUGACAAAGCUACAUGAAGCUACUCAUGGCAAGAGAUGAUGCAAACAAGAACAACACAUCAAGGCAAGUUUAAAUGAGGCCGGGAACAACAUAUAACAAUUCCGGUAAGUCCUCAUAUGCAUAUUUCGAAAUUGGUCCAGAUCUUAACAAACCUUAUGUUCAAGUAGUUAAACAUCAAGUUAAGAUGCACAAAGAUGAUCUACACGAGAUUCUAGUCAAGUUACAUAUAAAGUUCAUUAGAUUCGGAGCUACGGCCUAGAAGAUAUGGGCAAAACAAGUUAAACAUGGCAUUGAUGCAAAAUGCAACCAAACAUCAAGCAAACACCUCAAAAAAAGGAUGCAACAUGAUAAUAUGAAACUACAUGCAAUUCUAAGCAAGUUUCAUAUAGAGCACACUCAUAACGGGGCAACGGUUCAACACAUGCACACUAUACAAGUCAUAGCAAUAAUCUGUCCAAAACAGCAACUAGGCAUAUUGCAAGCAUCAAAACAAUAUGCUACAUCACCCCAACAUAAUAACAAAAGGCAUGGACAUGAUGUACAGGUAAAGCAUUACAAAACAUGAACAUUGAACUAUCUCCAGAAAUCACUAGAACAUGUCCAAACACACAUGGUAAGAUUGCAAGUUAUUACAAUUCAGACUUUGCAGAAAAUAACAUCACGAUGCAAUGUUCAGAGCUAUCAAACAACAUGUUACAGGAACUUAUAAUGGCAAACAAAGGCUUGGCAUGAUUUUACUCAAAGCAUAGAUCAAUAGUCCCUUACUGACCAUAAGUCAAAAAGGAUCAGAAAAUAUGAUGGCACCCACGUAAACAUAGCAAGUUAUUAUACAGAUUCAAACAUGGCAGAAACAUAAUUAUGAAGGCAUGUAAAUGAGCUUGUGCAACUCACUACAGAACAAUACAUGGCAUGGCAAGGCAACCAGCAGUAAGAAGACAUAUUUGUGAAGCUAAGAAUGGCAAUAGCAAGGUCAUAGGAUGCAUGGAACACUAGCAAAACACAUGGGAACAAGUGAACUUAAUGUAAACAGGCUGACAACAACAUUAUGAAGCAACUUUGGAGCAAGAUUACAACAAGCUACAGCAGCCUAUAAAUGCAACCAGGGCCUUGGAUGGAUAGGGGAUGACAUGUAUAUCAAAACAUGUUUAUAGGACAUAUCCAGAUUAUGCAUAGAAUGAUUAGUAGCAACAUGUUUAUAUAGCAUCGUGAAAUAAUAGAUUCAGCCUAGCAAAACAGCAACAUCAUGAACACUACUUAACAAGCUCGAUUCACUCACCACAAGUCAUUGCAUGACAAGAUAAGCAUAGCAUCAUCAAGAAGGCAUGUCAUAGAAGCUAUACAUGGCAAGAAACAACAUCAUAGCAUAUCCAGACCAACUACAACAACCUCGGCCAAAUUGAAUAACAUGUAAACAAUCUGCCAAGAAACAUUUUGAAGCAAAAGUAGAGCACUCAAAUGACAUGCUAGACUACUCCAUAAUUGCAACAAAGGGCAUGAAUGGAUAGAUCAUAACCACAUGUUCAAACCACCCUUACUGAAGUAUCUCAAAAUAUGCAUGGAUCUCUUUGUAGCAUCAAGUUUACAUGGCAUCAAAAUAACAGCAGAACAGGGACUAAAAUCAGCAACAUCACGAUGCCUAGUUUGCAUGCUUGUGCUAGUCACCACAUUGAUCACAAAAAUACAUGACAUACACCACUGUAAAGAAGACAUGGCAUAGAUCAAAACACAUGAAGACAUCAACCUCAUAGGAUGCACACAUCAAUCAUGGCAAAAAUGACAAAAGAGCUCGUUCUGAUAACAGACAGCAGAAAACAUUAUGAAGCAGUCUUACAACAAUGAUUCAGGCAUCAAUAUGACCUCAAAUGAAUAUGAUGCAAUGGAAUGGAAUGAUCUACUCGUCAAGACAAACUAUUCGACAUAUUACACGCACGAAACGGAGCUACGGAUGCAGAGAUACGGCAUGACGAACAUGGCAUGAAAAUUACUCAAACUAGGGACUUAGUGAAAAAAAAAUAGACCUCGGGGGGGGGGGGUUUGCUAGACGGACAUGUCCGGGCUCCUCCGGACAUGUCCGGCGUGGACGGAGGAGCAGACGACGGGGAGGCCGAGGAGGCCGACCAUGGCGGCGCGGCACUCCGGUGAGGUUGGAGGAGGCCAGGGAGGCGACGACGAGGUGGCCCCGGACCGAAUCUGGCCGGAUCCGGCCGACAGCGAGUGGCGGAACCUGGCUGGAGGCGGAGCGCGCGCCGGCGGAGGAAGCCGGGCCUUCGGGCGCAGAGGCGGGAGGUCAGAGGAGGCCGGGCGAAGCAGGUCGCCGACGGCGGAGCUUCGGCNNNNNNNNNNNNNNNNNNNNNNNNNNNNNNNNNNNNNNNNNNNNNNNNNNNNNNNNNNNNNNNNNNNNNNNNNNNNNNNNNNNNNNNNNNNNNNNNNNNNNNNNNNNNNNNNNNNNNNNNNNNNNNNNNNNNNNNNNNNNNNNNNNNNNNNNNNNNNNNNNNNNNNNNNNNNNNNNNNNNNNNNNNNNNNNNNNNNNNNNNNNNNNNNNNNNNNNNNNNNNNNNNNNNNNNNNNNNNNNNNNNNNNNNNNNNNNNNNNNNNNNNNNNNNNNNNNNNNNNNNNNNNNNNNNNNNNNNNNNNNNNNNNNNNNNNNNNNNNNNNNNNNNNNNNNNNNNNNNNNNNNNNNNNNNNNNNNNNNNNNNNNNNNNNNNNNNNNNNNNNNNNNNNNNNNNNNNNNNNNNNNNNNNNNNNNNNNNNNNNNNNNNNNNNNNNNNNNNNNNNNNNNNNNNNNNNNNNNNNNNNNNNNNNNGGGAGGGCCCCGGAUGGGCCCCGGCGGGCCGGCGCGGUGGGAGGCGCGGCGGGGACGCGUGGGAGGCGCUGGUUGGGCGGGGGCGGCGGCGCGAUGAUGUGGCGUCCCCGGAUUGGUCCGGGCGACGUGGAGGCUGGGGUGGACGUGUCCGGCCGCCGGGCGGACAUGUCCGGCGGCGCGAGGAGGGAGAGGUCUAGGGUUUCGGGGGAUCAACCGUGAAUUUCGGGGAGAGGCAUAUAUUUAUAGGUAGAAGGAGCUAGGAGAGUCCAAAUGAGGAGCGGUUUUCGGCCACGCGAGCGUGAUCGAACGACUGAGAGCAUGGAGGGGAGUUAGAUGGGUUUUGGGCCAGUUUGGAAGGGGUGUUGGGCUGCAAGGAGAGAGGGGCUUUACGGUUACCCGGUUAACCGUUGGAGUACCAAACGACCUCCAAAUGGCACGAAGCUUGACAGGCGGUCUACCGGUGCUAUACCGAGGCCACUUGGCAAGCCUCGGGCCAAUCCGAGAAAGUUUAGCACCCACUCACAACGAGAGACGAAAGGGGAACGCCGGAGGACAUAGGAGCGCCGUAUUGCAAAAUGGACAAUGGGGAAAAGGCUCGGAUGCAUGAGACGAACACGUAUGCAAAAUGAAAUGCACAUGAUGACAUGAUAAAAUGCAACACGCAAGCAAAUGACAUGACAAUGACAUGGCAACGACGGUGAAUAACUGGCAGACACCUGGCGCAUCGGAACCGGGGCGUUACACCUUUCUUCCUUCUUCUCAUCGCAUGCACACUUUCAUGUGCAAUUAGCACAUUGUCAGUUAUCAGGCGACCAGGGACAAACGCACUUUGUUCAACACUGAUAAUAUCAUCCAAGAACUCUCGGAGACGGUUAGCAAUGGCCUUGGAGGCGAUCUUAUAUAAAACCGGACAGAGAGAAAUAGGAUGAUAUUGAGUGAUACUUUGUGGGAAUCGUACCUUGGGGAUCAAUGUGAUAGAAGUGUCGUUUAUCCCUGGUGGUAGUUCUCCCCCAUUAAGAAAGUCAAGCACCGCUGGAAUAAUGUCGUCUUUGAGCCAACUCCAGUGACGCUGAAAAAACCCAGCCGUGAAACCAUCCACCCCCGGGUCCUUCGAGGGAGCCAUCUGGAAAAGGGCUCGGCGCACCUCCUCCUCUGUAAACGGCUUGCUAAGUGCAUCGUUCAUAACAGGAGUCACCCGUGGCUGUACAACAUCCAGCAAUUCAUCCAUCUGAUGAAAACCUUGCGAGGUAUAUAACUUCUCAUAGAACUGCUGCACCUCCGCACGAUCUUCCUCCAAACUAGUACACACCGAUCCUUCACUACGGACAAGAUUUUCUACCUUAUUCAUGCGCUUGCGCUGGGCGGCUCGGGCCCGAAAAUAACCCGUGUUUCGGUCCCCUUCUCGCAGCCAUGGAACACAUGAUCGCUGACGGAGCCAAAUUUCUUCUUGAUGCAGAGCCAGCUUAAGUUUCUGAGCCACCGCUUUCUCUUCUUCAGUAGGUCCCCGUCGCAAAGGAUUGGCACGCAGUCGGGAGAGCUGCUCUCGCAACUUCCUAAUCUUGCGUGACAAACAUCCAAACUCCUUCGCUCCCCACACCGCUAGGUUGCCCUGAAGAGCUGUGAGAGCUUGAGUCACUUCUCGUAGUCCUUCCCGGCCUGCCCCCUUCUGCCAUGAGUCAAAUACCAGCUUGUCAUAGUCCACGUGCGUCUGCCACAUGUCCUCAUAUCUAAAAGGUUUUGGCCCUCUGGGCACUACCGUUUCCAAGUGCUCGCGGAGAUCCGCUAACACAAAACAAUGAUCUGACUCCGUUGUUACUAUAUGUCUGACCUUAAUGUGUGAAAACAUCUAUAAGAGAGCGGAGUUACCAAAUGCCCGAUCCAGCCGGGCUCUCACAUUCGAUCUGCCGAACUGCAUGUUAUCCCAUGUGUAUUCAGUUCCCGACCAACCCAAAUCAAUAAGAGAACAAUCGUCCGUCACUUCCCUAAAUGCCCUCAUUUUCCACUCCGGUCUGGGAGUUCUGGAAAAGUGCUCUGAACCAUUCAAGGUCUCGUUGAAAUCUCCAAUGCACAUCCAUGCAUCAUGUUGAAUUGCAUAUAGUGUCCUCAUAAACCUCCAGCUAUGAUGACGAUGUUGGGGAACGUAGCAGAAAUUCAAAAUUUUCCUAUGAGUCACCAAGAUCUAUCUAUGGAGAGACUAGCAACAAGAGAAAGGAGAGUGCAUCUACAUACCCUUGUAGAUCGCUAAGAGGAAGCGUUCAAGAGAACGGGGUUGAAGGAGUCGUACUCGUCGUGAUCCAAAUCACCGGAGAUCCUAGUGCCGAACGGACGGCACCUUUGCGUUCAACACACGUACAACCCGGUGAAGUCUCCCAUGCCUUGAUACAGCAAGGAGAGAGGAAGAGGUUGGGGAAGACUCCGUCCAGCAGCAGCACAACAGCAUGGUGGUGAUGGAGGAGCAUGGUAUUCCAGCAGGGCUUCGCCAAGCACCGCGAGAUAUGAGGAGAAAGAGAGGUAGGGCAGCGCCAGGGAGAGGUGGAAACUCUUGUCUCUGGCAGCCCCAAAACCUCAAGUAUAUAUAGGGGAGAGGGAGGGGGCUGCGCCCCCUCUAGGGUUCCCACCCCUAGGGGUGCGGCAACCCAAAACCCAUCUAGGGUGGCGGCCAAGGGGGGGGGGGGAGGCGGAAACUUGCCCCCCCCCCCAAGCAAAGUGGGGCGCCCCCUCCCCAAACCCUAGGCGCCUUGGGCCCUUGUGGGGGGAGGGGGGCGCACCAGCCCACCUCGGGCUGGUCCCCUCCCACACUUGGCCCAUGCUGCCCUCUGGGGCUGGUGGCCCCACUUGGUGGACCCCCGGGACCCUCCCGGUGGUCCCGGUACGUUACCGAUAUCACCUCAAACUUUUCCGGUGACCAAGACAAGACUUCCCAUAUAUAAAUCUUUACCUCCGGACCAUUCCGGAACUCCUCGUGACGUCCGGGAUCUCAUCCGGGACUCCUAACAAUAUUCGGUAACCACGUAUAUCUAUUCCCUAUAACCCUAGCAUCAUCGAACCUUAAGUGUGUAGACCCUACGGGUUCGGGAACCAUGCAGACAUGACCGAGACAACUCUCCGAUCAAUAACCAACAGCGGGAUCUGGAUACCCAUGUUGGAUCCCACAUGUUCCAUGAUGAUCUCAUCGGAUGAACCGCGAUGUCAAGGACUCAAUCAAUCCCGUAUACAAUUCUCUUUGUCUAAUGGUAUUGUACUUGCCCGAGAUUCGAUCGUCGGUAUCCCGAUACCUUGUUCAAUCUUGUUACCAGCAAGUCUCUUUACUCGUUUCGUAACACAUCAUCCCGUGAUCAACCCCUUGGUCACAUUGUGCACACUAUGAUGAUGUCCUACCGAGUGGGCCCAGAGAUACCUCUCCGUCACACGGAGUGACAAAUCCCAGUCUCGAUUCGUGCCAACCCAACAGACACUUUCGGAGAUACCCGUAGUGCACCUUUAUAGCCACCCAUUUACGUUGUGACGUUUGGUACACCCAAAGCAUUCCUAUGGUAUCCGGGAGUUGCACAAUCUCAUGGUCUAAGGAAAUGAUACUUGACAUUAGAAAAGCUUUAGCAUACGAACUACACGAUCUUUGUGCUAGGCUUAGGAUUGGGUCUUGUCCAUCACAUCAUUCUCCUAAUGAUGUGAUCCCAUUAUCAACGACAUCCAAUGUCCAUGGUCAGGAAACCGUAACCAUCUAUUGAUCAACGAGCUAGUCAACUAGAGGCUUACUAGGGACAUGGUGUUGUCUAUGUACCCACACAUGUAUUUGAGUUUCCUAUCAAUACAAUUAUAGCAUGGAUAAUAAACGAUUAUCAUGAACAAGGAAAUAUAAUAAUAAUAACUAAUUUAUUAUUGCCUCUUGGGCAUAUUUCCAACAGUCUCCCACUUGCACUAGAGUCAAUAAUCUAGUUCACAUCGCCAUGUGAUUAAACUUGAUAGGUCACAUCGCCAUGUGACCAACAUCCAAAGAGUUUACUAGUGUCACUAAACUAGUUCACACCAUCAUGUGAUUAAGACUCAAUGAGUUUUGGGGUUUGAUCAUGUUUUGCUUGUAAGAGAGGUUUUAGUCAACGGAUCUGCAACAAUCAGAUCCGUAUGUACUUCGCAAAUCUCUAGGUCAUAUUGUAAAUGCCGCUUCCACGCUCCACUUGGAGCUAUUCCAAAUGGUUGCUCCACUAUACGUAUCUGGUUUGCUACUCAGAGUCAGUCGGAUAGGUGUUAAAGCUUGCAUCGACGUAACCCUUUACGCCGAACUCUUUAUCACCUCCAUAAUCGAGAAACAUGUCCUUAUUUACUCCAAGGACAAUUUUGACCGCUGUCCAAUGAUCCAUUCCUGGAUCAUUCUUGUACCCCUUGACUGACUCAUGGCAAGGCACACUUCCGGUGCGGUACACAGCAUAGCAUACUAUAGAGCCUACGUCUGAAGCAUAGGGGACGACCUUCGUCCUUUCUCUCUAUUCUGCCGUGGUCGAGCUUUAAGUCUUAACUUCAUACCUUACAAUUCUAGCAAGAACUCCUUCUUUGACUGAUCCAUCUUGAACACCUUCAAGAUCAUGUCAAGGUAUGUGCUCAUUUGAAAGUACCAUUUAGCGUUUUUUGAUCUAUCCUCAUAAAUCUUGAUGCUCAAUGUUCAAGCAGCUUAAUCCAGGUUUUCUAUUGAAAAACACCUUUCAAACAACCCUAUAUGCUUUCCAAAAAUUCUACAUCAUUUCUGAUCAACAAUAUGUCAACAACAUAUACUUAUCAGAAAUUCUAUAGUGCUCCCACUCACUUCUUUGGAAAUACAAAUUUCUCAUAAACUUUGUAUAAACCCAAAAUCUUUGAUCAUCUCAUCAAAGCGUACAUUCCAACUCCGAGAUGCUUACUCCAGUCCUUAGAAGGAUCGCCGAAGCUAGCAUACCUCUUAGCAUCCUUAGGAUCGACAAACUUUCUGAUGUCGCAUACAACCUUUCCUUACGAAAACUGGUAAGGGAACUCGUUUUGACAUCCAUUUGGCAGAUUUCAUAAAUGCAGCUAAUGCUAGCAUGAUUCCGACGGACUUAAGCAUCGCUACAGAUGAGAAAAUCUCAUUGUAGUCAACUUCCUUGAACUUGUGAAAAACUCUUCGCCACAAGUCGAGCUUCACAGACGGUGACAUUACCGUCCACGUCCGUCUUCUUCUUAAAGAUCAAUUUAUCUCAAUGGCUUGCCGAUCAUCGGGCAAGUCCACCAAAGUCCAUGCUUUGUUCUGAUACAUGGAUCCUAUCUCGGAUUUCAUGGCUUCUAACCAUUUGUCGAAAUAUGGGCCCACCAUUGCUUCUCCAUAGCUCGUAGGUUCAUUGUUGUAUAGCAACAUGACCUUCAAGACAGGAUUACUAUACCACUCUGAAGUAGUACGCAUCCUUGUCACUCUACGAGGUACGACAGUGACUUGAUCUGAAACUUCAUGAUCACUAUCAUAAGCUUCUACAUCAAUUGGUGUAGGCACCACAGGAACAACUUCUUGUGCCCUGCUACACACUAGUUGAAGUGACGGUUCAAUAACCUCAUCAAGUCUCCACCAUCCUCCCACUCAAUUCUUUCGAGACAAACUUUUCCUCGAGAAAGGAUCCGAUUCAAGAAACAAUCCCUAUUGCUUUCGGAUCUGAAUUAGGAGGUAUACCCAACUAUUUUUGGGUGUCCUAUGAAGAUGCAUUUUAUCCGCUUUGGGUUCGAGCUUAUCAACCUGAAACUUUUUCACAUAAGCGUCGCAGCCCCAAACCUUUAAGAAAUGACAACUUAGGUUUCUCCAAACCAUAGUUCAAACGGUGUCGUCUCAACGGAAUUACAUGGUGCCCUAUUAAAGUGAGUGCGGUUGUCUCUAAUGCCUAACCCAUGAACGAUAGUGGUAAUUUGAUAAGAGACAUCAUGGUACGCACCAUAUCCAAUAGGGUGCAACUAUGAUGUUCGGACACACCAUCACACUAUGGUGUUCCAAGCGGUAUUAAUUGUGAAACAAUUUCCACAGUGUCUUAAUUGCGUGACAAAGCUCGUAACUCAGAUACUCAUCUCUAUGAUCAUAUCAUAGACAUUUUAUCCUCUUGUCACGAUGAUCUUCAACUUCACUCUGAAAUUACUUGAACCAUUCAAUAAUUCAGACUUGUGUUUCAUCAAGUAAAUAUACUCAGUAUCUACUCAAAUCAUCCGUGAAGUAAGAACAUAACGAUAUCCACCGCGUGCCUCAGCACUCAUUGGACUGCACACAUCAAAAUGUAUUACUUCCAACAAGUUGCUUUCUUGUUCCAUUUUACUGAAAACGAGGCUUUUAGUCAUCUUGCCCAUGUGGUAUGAUUUGCAUGUCUCAAGUGAUUCAAAAUCAAGUGAGUCCAAACGGUCCAUUUGCAUGGAGUUUCUUCAUGCAUAUACACCAAUAGACAUGGUUCGCAUGUCUCAAACUUUUCAAAACGAGUGAGUCCAAAGAUCCAUCAACAUGGAGCUUCUUCAUGCGUUUUAUACCAAUAUGACUCAGUGCCACAAGUAUGUGGUACUAUCAUUACUAUCUUAUAUCUUUUGGCUUGAAUAUGUGUAUCACUAUGAUCGAGAUUCAAUAAACCAUUCAUUUUAGGUGCAACACCAGUGAAGGUAUUAUUCAAAUAAACAGAGUAACCAUUAUUCUCCUUAAAUGAACAACCGUAUUGCGAUAGACAUAAUCCAAUCAUGUCUAUGCUCAACGCAAAUGCCAAAUAACAAUUAUUUAGGUUUAACACCAAUCUCGAUGGUAGAGGGAGCGUGCGAUGCUUGAUCACAUCAACCUUGGAAACACUUCCAACACAUAUCGUCAGCUCACCUUUAGCUAGUCUCCGUUUAUUCCGUAGCUUUUAUUUCGAGUUACCAACACUUAGCAACCGAACCGGUAUCUAAUACCCUGGUGCUACUAGGAGUACUAGUAAAGUACACAUUAACAUAAUGUAUAUCCAAUAUACUUCCGUCGACCUUGCCUGCCUUCUUAUCUACUAAGUAUCUAGGGUGGUUCUGCUUUAGUGUCCGUUCCUCUCAUUACAGAAGCACUUAGUCUCGGGUUUGUGUUCAACCUUGGGUUUUCACUAGAGCAGCAACUGUUUUGCCGUUUCAUAAAGUAUCCCUUCUUGCCCUUGCCCUUCUUGAAACUAGUGGUUUUACCAACCAUCAACAAUUGAUGCUCCUUCUUGAUUUCUACUUUCACGGUGUCAAACAUCGCGAAUAUCUCAAGGAUCAUCAUAUCUAUCCCUGAUAUGUUAUAGUUCAUCACGAAGCUCUAGCAACUUGGUGGCAAUGACUUUGGAGAAACAUCACUAUCUCAUCUGGAAGAUCAACUCCCACUCGAUUCAAGUGAUUGUUGUACUCAGACAAUAUGAGCACAAGCUCAACGAUUGAGCUUUUCUCCCUUAGUUAGGCUAAGAAAAUUGUCGAAGGUCUUAUACCUCUUGACGUGGGCACGAGCCUAAAAUCCCAAUUUUAGCCCUCGAAACAUCUCACAUGUUCCGCGACGUUUCGAAAUCAUCUUUGGUGCCUCAUCUCUAUACCGUUUAACUGAACUAUCAUGUAGUUAUCAAAACGUGUAUGUCAAAUGUCCGCAACAUCCACAGACGACGUUUGAGGUUCAGCACACCGAGCGGUGCAUUAAGGACAUAAGCCUUCUAUGAAGCAAUGAGGACAAUCCUCAGUUUACGGACCCAGUCCGCAUAAUUGCUACUAUCAACUUUAUUUUCUCUAGGAACAUAUCUAAAACAGUAGAACUAAAGCGCGAGCUACGACAUAAUUUGCAAGAAUCUUUUUGACUAUGUUCAGGAUAAUUAAGUUCAUCUUACGAACUCCCACUCAGAUAGACAUCCCUCUAGUCAUCUAAGUGAUUACAUGAUCCGAGUCAACUAGGCCGUGUCCGAUCAUCAUGUGAGACGGACUAGUCAUCAUUGGUGAACAUAUUCAUAUUGAUCGUAUCCACUAUACGACUCAUGCUCGACCUUUCGGUCUCUUGUGUUCUGAGGCCAUGUCUGUACAUGCUAGGCUCGGCAAGUCAACCUAAGUGUUUCGCGUGUGUAAAUCUGGCUUACACCCGUUGUAUGUGAACAUUAGAAUCUAUCACACCCGAUCAUCACGUGGUGCUUCGAAACAACGAACUUUCACAACGGUGCACAGUUAGGGGGAACACUUUCUUGAAAUUUUAAUGAGGGAUCAUCUUAUUUACUACCGUCGUUCUAAGCAAAUAAGAUGCAUAAACAUGAUAAACAUCACAUGCAAUCAAAAAGUGACAUGAUAUGGCCAAUAUCAUUUUGCUCCUUUUGAUCUCCAUCUUCGGGGCUCCAUGAUCAUCAUUGUCACCAGCAUGACACCAUGAUCUCCAUCAUCAUGAUCUCCAUCAUCGUGUCUCCAUGAAGUUGUCUCGCCAACUAUUACUUCUACUACUAUGGCUAACGGUUUAGCAAUGAAGUAAAGUAAUUACAUGGCGUUGUUCAGUGACAUGCAGGUCAUACAAUAAAUAAAGACAACUCCUAUGGCUCCUGCCGGUUGUCAUACUCAUCGACAUGCAAGUCGUGAUUCCUAUUACAAGAACAUGAUCAAUCUCAUACAUCACAUAUCAUUCAUCACAUUCUUUUUGGCCAUAUCACAUCAAAUAGCAUACCCUGCAAAAACAAGUUAGACAUCCUCUAAUUGUUGUUUGCAUGUUUUACGUGGCUGCUAUGGGUUUCUAGCAAGAACUUUUCUUACCUAUGCAAAAACCACAACGUGAUAUGUCAAUUUCUAUUUACCCUUCAUAAGGACCCUUUUCAUCAAAUCCGAUCCGACUAAAGUGGGAGAUACUGGCACCCGCUAGCCACCUUAUGCAACAAGUGCAUGUCAGUCGGUGGAACCUGUCUCACGUAAGAGUAAGUGUAAGGUCGGUCCGGGCCGCUUCAUCCCACAAUACCGUCGAAACAAGAUUGGACUAGUAACGGUAAGCAUAUUGAACAAAAUCAACGCCCACAACUACUUUGUGUUCUACUCGUGCAUAGAAUCUACGCAAUAGACCUAGCUCAUGAUGCCACUGUUGGGGAACGUAGCAGAAAUUCAAAAUUUUCCUACGAGUCACCAAGAUCUAUCUAUGGAGAGACUAGCAACGAGAGAGAGGAGAGUGCAUCUACAUACCCUUGUAGAUCGCUAAGCGGAAGCGUUCAAGAGAACGGGGUUGAAGGAGUCGUACUCGUCAUGAUCCAAAUCACUGGAGAUCCUAGUGCCGAACGGACGACACCUCCGCGUUCAACACACGUACAGCCCGGUGACGUCUCCCAUGCCUUGAUCCAGCAAGGAGAGAGGGAGAGGUUGGGGAAGACUCCGUCCAGUAGCAGCACAACGUCAUGGUGGUGAUGGAGGAGCGUGGUAUUCCAGCAGGGCUUCGCCAAGCACCGCGAGAUAUGAGGAGAAAGAGAGGUAGGGCAGCGCCAGGGAGAGGUGGAAACUCUUGUCUCUGGCAGCCCCAAAACCUCAAGUAUAUAUAGGGGAGAGGGNNNNNNNNNNNNNNNNNNNNNNNNNNNNNNNNNNNNNNNNNNNNNNNNNNNNNNNNNNNNNNNNNNNNNNNNNNNNNNNNNNNNNNNNNNNNNNNNNNNNNNNNNNNNNNNNNNNNNNNNNNNNNNNNNNNNNNNNNNNNNNNNNNNNNNNNNNNNNNNNNNNNNNNNNNNNNNNNNNNNNNNNNNNNNNNNNNNNNNNNNNNNNNNNNNNNNNNNNNNNNNNNNNNNNNNNNNNNNNNNNNNNNNNNNNNNNNNNNNNNNNNNNNNNNNNNNNNNNNNNNNNNNNNNNNNNNNNNNNNNNNNNNNNNNNNNNNNNNNNNNNNNNNNNNNNNNNNNNNNNNNNNNNGGGGGGUGCACCAGCCCACCCGGCCACCCGGUGCUGGUCCCCUCCCACACUUGGCCCAUGCUGCCGUCUGGGGCCGGUGGCCCCACUUAGUGGACCCCCGGGACCCUCCCGGUGGUCUCGGUACGUUAUCGAUAUCACCCGAAACUUUUCCGGUGACCAAAAUGUUGGGGAACGUUGUAGAAAAUAAAAGUUUUUCCUACGGUUUCACCAAGAUCCAUCUAUGAGUUCAUCUAAGCAACGAGUGAAAGGGGAGAUGCAUCUACAUACCACUUUGUAGAUCGCGAGCGGAAGCGUUCAAAAGAACGGGGUUGAGGUAGUCGUUCUCGUCGUGAUCCUAUCACCGGAGAUCCUAGCGCCGAACGGACGGCACCUCCGCGUUCAACACACGUACGGUCAGCGUGACGUCUCCUCCAUCUUGAUCCAGCAAGGGGGAAGGAGAGGUUGAUGAUGAUCCAGCAGCACGACGGCGUGGUGGUGGAUGUAGCAGAACUCCGGCAGGGCUUUGUGAUGGGGUUAUGUACCUAGGGUAGGGUCAUGGACCUGAUCCAAGUACCUUGCCCAAGGACACCCUUAGAAGAAGUCAUCUUCCAGUCGACCAACGAGGGACACACUCGACUGACUUGAAGGACUCGACCACGAAGACUCACUCGACCACCAGGAGGUCAAGAGGCACUCUGCACUGCAACGGCCUGUAAUUAAGUAGGCUUUAUGAUAGUAAAGGCACUUUAUGUGGGGCGUUACCAGUAACGCCCCAGACUUAACUCACCUUAAACCCUCUCCUGCGUGGGCUGGCUGGGGUCCUGGCGCACUCUAUAUAAGCCACCCCCCUCCACAGGCAGAAGGGGUCGGCACCUUGUAGCUCAUAUACUCAUAAUCCACUCGACCGCCUCCGGGCUCCGAGACGUAGGGCUAUUACUUCCUCCGAGAAGGGCCUGAACUCGUACAUCCUUUGUGUUUACAACCUCUCCAUAGCUAGGACCUUGCCUCUCCAUACCUACCCCCCACUCUACUGUCAGGCUUAGAACCACGACAGUUGGCGCCCACCGUGGGGCAGGUGUUUUAGCGAUUUUGUGGAGAAGUUGCGAUUCUUCCGAGUACUUUCAUCAUGGUGUCUGCUGGAGUUUUGGUCGAGGGUCAAGAGAUCCGUCUCGGCACUCUCACCUUCAUCGCCGACGACUUAGCAUGGCUCCAGGAGGCUCCACUCGACGUAGAUGCGCUCCCCGUCCGCGGUGCGACGCAUUUUCGCGCAUGUGUCCGCGGCGUUCUGCUGCGGCAACCGUCGACCCAGUAUUGGUCGGCUCCUCCAUCGUCCACCCUCCCGGUCUCCCGCCAGCGCAAGCGCUCGGGCCGGUCGAGGCUUCAGCGAUGGGUGAGGCACGCGGUGGCUCGCCAAUCAGCCACCACCCAAGUCGCGGCAAUCGAGCCCGACGAAUAUCUCUACGGCUUGUUCGACCUGUCGACUGGCUCCGUAGAGACUGCAUCCGAGUGCGGUAGCAGUGAUCCAGCGGCAGAAAUCUUGAUGGUCGACGGGCCCCACAGUCCCCCUGGCUUCGCCCGUGGUGGUGGAGCAGGUGACGGCGGCGACCCUACGCGAGGCUACGAAGAGUACCAACCCGAGCCACUCGACUCUCUGCAAAGAGAGGAACUUCGCCGCAGGAACGAGGAUCCCCUGCGUAUUCCCAUCGCAGGAGAAACCCCCGAGGCUCGUGCCUUGGAGGAGGCGCGUCUGGCCAAUUUGGCCGAGCGCACUCGACUGGAGAACCUUCAGCGAGCUCUCGACGAGCGCGCGCGGCAACGAAUUCCCGACAACAGUCGACGUCAACUCUUCCCGCAGACUCAGGUAUAUCGAACCCGUAUAGCAGCUGCGACCCGUAUAGCAGAGUCCAUCCAGCCUUCGCAGUCGGAAGCUGGCAGAGGUUUGCUGCAGAUCAGGGAUCUGCUCCGGGCAGCAGGAGAUCAGAAUUCAGCCGUGUCUCAGUCGCACAACAGAAUUCACAGUCGAUCCGUCACUGUGAAUACGGUUCAGUCGGCUCAUAGCCCCAGAUCGCCUCCGCGGCGUGAAGGGCGCGAGAAUCGACGAGAUCAAUAUGGCGACAGACUCGACCGAGAUGAUAGGCGUCGAGUGCCCUAUUCCCCUCCGAGGGGUGGGUCUUACGCUCCUCGGCAGCCAGAUGAUAGGCGUCAGUACAGUACAUGGCGUAGGGUUCCAGUCGACCCCAGAGAACCAGGCUUCGACGCGCGAUCCAUUAUCGUGCAAGGGUUGGUUGACCGGAACAGAGCCCAUCGAGGUGGACUCGACAGAGAUGCACCCACAAGCAGUCGAGUGCAUGUUUCCGGUCCUGAAUGUUUCAGCAGAGCUAUCAGAGCCGCAGUUAUCCCUCCCAAUUUCAGGUUGGCAACAGGAGUCAGCAAGUUCACUGGUGAGUCUAAGCCUGAAACUUGGCUUGAAGACUACCGAGUGGCAGUUCAGAUUGGUGGUGGGAACGACGAGGUGGCCAUGAAGCAUUUGCCCCUCAUGUUGGAAGGUUCUGCCAGGGCAUGGUUGACUCAGUUACCUCCUAGCAGCAUUUACACUUGGGAAGAUCUGUCCCGAGUGUUCGUCAGAACGUUUGAAGGAACUUGCAAGCGACCAGCUGGAUUAACAUAGUUGCAAGUCUGCGUGCAGAAGGCCAAUGAGACUCUCAGAGAGUAUAUUCAGAGGUGGAUCACUUUGCAUCACACUGUGGAGAAUAGUGCCACACCACUCGCCAAUGUCGACUCCUGAUUCAGCAGUUUCAGGGAAAACAGUCUAAGGACAAGGAGAAGGAGUCGGACAAGGCCGAAGACAAGGAGGACAGUGAGGGAGGAUAUCCGCAAAUCAACUCCACUCUGAUGAUCUUUGCAGAUGUGGAAAGCAGAAGUCGACUGAAAGUGAUUAACCGAGAGGUGAACAUGGUUGCCCCCGCAAAAGCAAAUUAUCUGAAGUGGUCCCAAACACCCAUCACAUUCGACCAAUCUGAUCACCCGACUCAUAUUGCCACCCCUGGGAGGCAAGCUUUGGUGGUCGAUCCAGUUGUCGAAGGCACUCGACUGACAAAGGUGCUGAUGGAUGGUGGAAGUGGGCUGAACUUAUUGUAUGCAGACACAUUGAAAGGUAUGGGCAUUCCGAUGUCCCGACUGAGCACUAGUAACAUGAGCUUUCAUGGAGUUAUACCAGGGAAGAAGGCCGAGUCACUCGGCCAGAUAGCUUUGGACGUGGUGUUUGGUGAUUCGAAGCAUUUUCGCAAAGAAAAGUUGACGUUUGAGGUCGUGGAUUUUCAGAGUGCAUAUCAUGCCAUUUUGGGGAGACCAGCUUACGCACGGUUCAUGGCUCGACCAUGUUACGUGUACCUCAAAUUGAAGAUGCCCGGCCCCAAAGGAGUGAUCACUGUCACCGGUGAUCGGAAAAAGGCAGAAGAGUGCUUUCAGAAGGGCUCCAAGAUCGCCGAUUCCCAGGUGACAGCGGU